GAUGAAGAACGUAGCGAAAUGCGAUAAGUAUUGUGAAUUGCAGAAUCCAGUGAAUCAUCGAAUCUUUGAACGCACAUUGCGCCCUUUGGUAUUCCUUAGGGCAUGCCUGUUCGAGCGUCAUUUAAACCUUCAAGCUCAGCUUGGUGUUGGGUGACUGUCCGCUUCACCGCGGACUCGCCUCAAAAUUAUUGGCGGCCGGUACAUUGGCUCUCGAGCGCAGCAGAAACGCGUAACUCGAGGUCCUCGUGCUGGCUCCCAGAAGCUAUCUUCACAAUUUUGACCUCGGAUCAGGUAGGGAUACCCGCUGAACUUAAGCAUAUCAAUAAGCGGAGGA
RNAcentral lists this unclassified non-coding RNA (334 nucleotides) under soil metagenome. Its description in RNAcentral is "partial contains 5.8S ribosomal RNA, internal transcribed spacer 2, and large subunit ribosomal RNA". The stretch from base 1 to 120 matches the Rfam family "5.8S ribosomal RNA", at positions 35 to 154 of the family's 154-position model. The record is from RNAcentral.